AGAGUUUGAUCAUGGCUCAGGAUGAACGCUGGCGGCGUGCCUAACACAUGCAAGUCGAACGGGAAUCUUCGGAUUCUAGUGGCGGACGGGUGAGUAACGCGUAAGAAUCUAACUUCAGGACGGGGACAACAGUUGGAAACGACUGCUAAUACCCGAUGUGCCGCAAGGUGAAACCUAAUUGGCCUGAAGAAGAGCUUGCGUCUGAUUAGCUAGUUGGUGGGGUAAAGGCCUACCAAGGCGACGAUCAGUAGCUGGUCUGAGAGGAUGAGCAGCCACACUGGGACUGAGACACGGCCCAGACUCCUACGGGAGGCAGCAGUGGGGAAUUUUCCGCAAUGGGCGAAAGCCUGACGGAGCAACGCCGCGUGAGGGAGGAAGGUCUUUGGAUUGUAAACCUCUUUUCUCAAGGAAGAAGUUCUGACGGUACUUGAGGAAUCAGCCUCGGCUAACUCCGUGCCAGCAGCCGCGGUAAUACGGGGGAGGCAAGCGUUAUCCGGAAUUAUUGGGCGUAAAGCGUCCGCAGGUGGUCAGCCAAGUCUGCCGUCAAAUCAGGUUGCUUAACGACCUAAAGGCGGUGGAAACUGGCAGACUAGAGAGCAGUAGGGGUAGCAGGAAUUCCCAGUGUAGCGGUGAAAUGCGUAGAGAUUGGGAAGAACAUCGGUGGCGAAAGCGUGCUACUGGGCUGUAUCUGACACUCAGGGACGAAAGCUAGGGGAGCGAAAGGGAUUAGAUACCCCUGUAGUCCUAGCCGUAAACGAUGGAUACUAGGCGUGGCUUGUAUCGACCCGAGCCGUGCCGAAGCUAACGCGUUAAGUAUCCCGCCUGGGGAGUACGCACGCAAGUGUGAAACUCAAAGGAAUUGACGGGGGCCCGCACAAGCGGUGGAGUAUGUGGUUUAAUUCGAUGCAACGCGAAGAACCUUACCAAGACUUGACAUGUCGC
RNAcentral lists this ribosomal RNA (942 nucleotides) under uncultured bacterium. RNAcentral describes it as "bacterial SSU rRNA". It matches the Rfam family "Bacterial small subunit ribosomal RNA", at positions 8 to 992 of the family's 1533-position model. The record is from RNAcentral.